UAUUUAUUCAAUUACUUCGUUUGCACAUACAUGUUCCAUUUGAGUCAGACUGAAGCAUCUCCCAUAGUGGACAAAGUUCGCAUCUGAAAUCCUUCCGGGGCGUCAAUCCAACAAACCAGAAGGAAACAAGAGAUAUUUUUUGCCUGCCUCAUCAUGCGUGAUCUUGCUAGAGGGGACCGCCUUGACACACCAACAGAAUCGUUG
RNAcentral lists this long non-coding RNA (204 nucleotides) under Hordeum vulgare. RNAcentral describes it as "long non-coding RNA (HVUL_LNC006844)". The record is from RNAcentral. Lineage: Eukaryota; Viridiplantae; Streptophyta; Magnoliopsida; Poales; Poaceae.